RNAcentral lists this ribosomal RNA (274 nucleotides) under uncultured bacterium. RNAcentral's name for it is "partial 16S ribosomal RNA". It matches the Rfam family "Bacterial small subunit ribosomal RNA", at positions 523 to 796 of the family's 1533-position model. The record is from RNAcentral.
AUACGGAGGGUCCAAGCGUUAUCCGGAAUCAUUGGGUUUAAAGGGUCCGCAGGCGGUCAAUUAAGUCAGAGGUGAAAGCCCAUCGCUCAACGAUGGAACUGCCUUUGAUACUGGUUGACUUGAGUGAACGCGAGGUGUGCGGAAUGAGUAGUGUAGCGGUGAAAUGCUUAGAUAUUACUCAGAACACCGAUUGCGAAGGCAGCAUACUAGAGUUUAACUGACGCUGAUGCACGAAAGCGGGGGUAGCGAACAGGAUUAGAAACCCCAGUAGUCC